UACAGUGAAUAGAACGGCUUUGAUUAUCACUUGGCUGCCAAAUUGCCAAUCCGUUCACCCCUCCUCUCUCUCUCUUGUUGUCGUUGUCUUUCCUCUUUCCUAUCGCAAUUGAUUUAGCACUCCAAAAUUGGUACAAUUUGACCGCUGUUAUAGGGGGCUUUCAAUAGGAAAAAGGACUCACAGAGAGAAUCAAUCAAUAUGAAGUCUGAAGAUUAUUAUUCGGCCCCCAACCAGGUGGUCACGCCUUAUCACCCACUCAGAGAAUAGGUGGGGUGAUGGAAAACAGCUGACCAGCACGAAGUCGAAGAAGUUGAUGAAGACCACCUUUCUCAUGGAUCGGAGGAAAAUCCAUGCGAGUCCCUUACUAAUGUUGGUGUUGUAGAGUAGCCAUCGCUGGGAACUAGUGAGGACGUGACCCACCAGAAUGAUUUCAGUGUCACAGCGUAGUUGGUUCAACGAAAUCAAUUCCAAGUGUUUUGAGUAAAUUUUUAAGGGUGACAUGUGGCAGACAACUGUUGGGGAGUUUAGUUUCCGACUUGGUCGGAGAUGACAAGGUUCCUCGAGCCGUUUUGUAAAUUUGAAGGGUUUGGCCCUCGGCCGUGUUUCAGAUUGUAGAACAUUGAUAGAUUUUCUAUUCUUAAAUCAAAUUGUUGGUUUGGCUUUUAUUA
Molecule: long non-coding RNA, 668 nt
Organism: Salvia splendens (bonfire salvia)
Lineage: Eukaryota; Viridiplantae; Streptophyta; Magnoliopsida; Lamiales; Lamiaceae
Exons: 3
Source: RefSeq, a predicted model, not a curated record